Molecule: long non-coding RNA, 1979 nt
Organism: Mytilus californianus (California mussel)
Lineage: Eukaryota; Metazoa; Mollusca; Bivalvia; Mytilida; Mytilidae
Exons: 6
Source: RefSeq, a predicted model, not a curated record
AAGGAUUUGUAGAGUAUACAAAUCCUUGAUUAUAACAAAGGCAUAUAAUACUCAGUGUACCACUUCUGAACUUUUUUGUAAUUAUUUUCUAUACUUAAAUCCCCAUUCUUGAUUCCAGACCGGGUAAAGAACUAACUCUCAUAUAUACGUAAAUGAUCGUAAAUGUACGAAAGCUUGACACGUCGAAUACGAAAACCCGGAAAUAUUUUCUCCGUUGCCGUUUUUUAUACUAUGACGCAAAAUCCAUGGACGCUCGUCUGCUGCUGAAUUCAUGUUUUACAGUUUAACAAGGAUUUGUAUAGUGUCACUGUACAAAUCCUUGAGUAUAAAGAAUGGAAAGAUAUAUUAUAGUCAGAUAGAUAAUACAAAGAACUCUGGUUUUUCAAAACCGAUUGGUCAAAAAGUUAUUAGUAUGAACAGAUAAAUUGAAAUGGGUUGCUUGUCGAUUAACUGAUUAACUGGAAGAAACCGGGGAACGAAAGAAAGUUGUGUUUCUCUUAACGGAUUACGUACCCAAUAUUUUGUACUUGGAAAGCGCAACGAAAGUCUGACGAUGUUGGAGCCUAUAACUACAGAAGGAACACCUAAGCGCUUGACAUCUUUUGCGAGUUGUACAAUCUCUGAUGCUGUGUGUGAUGCAGAUAAUUUAUCACAGAUGUCAUUCUCUCCAAUCUGUAUGAAAACAAGCAGACUUUGAACGUGGCCUGUGGAAUGCUCUACACAGUCUGUUUCCAGGAGUCCCCGUCCAAGGUUGUGCAUUUCACUGGAGUCAAGCCAUCUUCCGUAAAAUCCAAAAGACAGGCUUGGUAGUUUCAUACAAUUCCAAGGGCAACACUUUUAAAUUUUUACCUGACUCAAAAUCAUGCAUGAUGAUGCUGUUUGGGCCCCCUGGUUGUACAUAGGAAGUGGACUCCUCGAGAAGAUGAAAGGUCUGCUUUACAUCAUUUUCAAUGAAAGUACAAGUACUUUGAGAAGUAGGAGAAGCUAAGCAACAGAACAGAAUUCAUUUGGGUCAUUGAUGUCUAGAUUAUAUAGUGGAUUCAUAGAUUGUCAUAUUGAUUUAUGUGCAUAUGAGCACAGAGGAGCAGUAGUCAAUGAAUAAUUUUGUGAUGAGAGCUUGUUACCAAAUGAAAGGAAAGUACAGUAUUGACAAUGAUUGAUAUCACUGGUGAACAUGUAUGUCAUGUAGGUGUGAAUGUCCUGCAAAAAAGAACUGAUAUCAAAUUACCAUUCACAGUGAACAUGGUGAAGAAUAACCAAUACCAUGAAUACAGGACAUAGAAGACUACCUCACAAAUAUGGGAAUUUUACAAAAAAUACAACAUUUAAAUUUACAAAGAAGACAUUUAUUUUGACAUUCAUGGACUUUUAAAGUAAAGAAAUUAGAAUGUGAAUAAAAAUCCUUGGAAAUAAAAUUUUGAACUUUGAAGAAGAUUAAAGAUUAUGUUUGUUCUAAGAAAGUUUUAAGAAAACAGAUACAUUCAAAACUGUAAAAAGGAAACAAUACAAUAUUCACAAUUACUCUUGAGAUCAAUUACUCUUGAUAUAUAAUUAAAAGAUCAUAUAAAAGUAAGGAAAUUUGGUUGAAUUGCCAAUGAGAAAAAUAUCCACCAGAGUUCAAAUGAUGUGAUAGUGAGCAAUUAUAGGUCACCAUAUGUCCUCCAACAAUGAAAAAAACCGAACUAUAUAGUGUGCUAUGAAAAGGUUUGGAUAUGACAAAUAGAGAAAACUAAGAGCCUUAUUUUAACAAGUUAAUAUAUGAAAGCAAAAUAUGAACCAAAGACAAGCACUGAAAUACUUAUGAUUAUUGUUGAUUUACUCUUGAAUAUUCAUGUUGAAUGUUAAAAAAGAUUUUAAAUCAGAGUUAUCAUCAAUAUUCAACUUGUUAAACAACAAGUCACUGUUUGACAGAAAGUUCUAUGCCAAAAACCUUGUAUGUAUUGCAUCAGAAACAAAUUUUAGAUAGAACACUAGGAGAC